This 253-nucleotide ribosomal RNA is filed under the name uncultured bacterium. Its description in RNAcentral is "partial 16S ribosomal RNA". It matches the Rfam family "Bacterial small subunit ribosomal RNA", at positions 524 to 776 of the family's 1533-position model. The record is from RNAcentral.
UACAGGGGGUGCAAACGUUGCUCGGAAUCAUUGGGCGUAAAGCGCACGUAGGCGGUUCGUUAUGUCGGAUGUGAAAGCCCUUGGCUUAACCGAGGAAGUGCAUCCGAAACUGGCGAGCUAGAGUACGAAAGAGGAUCGCGGAAUUCCCGGUGUAGAGGUGAAAUGCGUAGAUAUCUGGAGGAAUACCGGUGGCGAAGGCGGCAUCCUGGACCGAGAUUGACGCUGAGGAGCGAAAGCUAGGGGAGCAAACGGG